Molecule: non-coding RNA, 106 nt
Filed under: Flavobacterium haoranii
Lineage: Bacteria; Pseudomonadati; Bacteroidota; Flavobacteriia; Flavobacteriales; Flavobacteriaceae
Description: SAM-I sequence
Rfam family: SAM riboswitch aptamer (S box leader)
About the family: The SAM riboswitch is found upstream of a number of genes which code for proteins involved in methionine or cysteine biosynthesis in Gram-positive bacteria. The SAM riboswitch acts at the level of transcription termination control. The predicted structure consists of a complex stem-loop region followed by a single stem loop terminator region.
Source: Rfam by way of RNAcentral
UUGUUAUCACGAAAGCUGGAGGGAAUAGACCCUGCGAAAGCUUAGCAACCCUACACUUGUAGAAGGUGCUACAUUCUAUUUCGAUUUUAUCGGAAAAAGAUAACGU